RNAcentral lists this ribosomal RNA (510 nucleotides) under uncultured bacterium. RNAcentral describes it as "partial 16S ribosomal RNA". It matches the Rfam family "Bacterial small subunit ribosomal RNA", at positions 28 to 507 of the family's 1533-position model. The record is from RNAcentral.
GACGAACGCUGGCGGCGUGCUUAACACAUGCAAGUCGAACGAAGAGCGAUGGAAGCUUGCUUCUAUCAAUCUUAGUGGCGAACGGGUGAGUAACGCGUAAUCAACCUGCCCUUCAGAGGGGGACAACAGUUGGAAACGACUGCUAAUACCGCAUACGAUCUAAUCUCGGCAUCGAGGAUAGAUGAAAGGUGGCCUCUACAUGUAAGCUAUCACUGAAGGAGGGGAGUGCGUCUGAUUAGCUAGUUGGAGGGGUAACGGCCCACCAAGGCGAUGAUCAGUAGCCGGUCUGAGAGGAUGAACGGCCACAUUGGGACUGAGACACGGCCCAGACUCCUACGGGAGGCAGCAGUGGGGAAUCUUCCGCAAUGGACGAAAGUCUGACGGAGCAACGCCGCGUGAGUGAUGACGGCCUUCGGGUUGUAAAGCUCUGUUAAUCGGGACGAAAGGCCUUCUUGCGAAUAGUGAGAAGGAUUGGCGGUACCGGAAUAGAAAGCCACGGCUAACUACGUG